CUGGGAGGACCAUCUCCUAAGGCUAAAUACUCUCUAGUGACCGAUAGUGAACCAGUACCGUGAGGGAAAGGUGAAAAGCACCCCGGAAGGGGAGUGAAAUAGAACCUGAAACCGUGUGCUUACAAGUAGUCAGAGCCCGUUAAUGGGUGAUGGCGUGCCUUUUGUAGAAUGAACCGGCGAGUUACGAUUUGAUGCAAGGUUAAGCAGUAAAUGUGGAGCCGUAGCGAAAGCGAGUCUGAAUAGGGCGUUUAGUAUUUGGUCGUAGACCCGAAACCAGGUGAUCUACCCUUGGUCAGGUUGAAGUUCAGGUAACACUGAAUGGAGGACCGAACCGACUUACGUUGAAAAGUGAGCGGAUGAACUGAGGGUAGCGGAGAAAUUCCAAUCGAACCUGGAGAUAGCUGGUUCUCUCCGAAAUAGCUUUAGGGCUAGCCUCAAGUGAUGAUUAUUGGAGGUAGAGCACUGUUUGGACGAGGGGCCCCUCUCGGGUUACCGAAUUCAGACAAACUCCGAAUGCCAAUUAAUUUAACUUGGGAGUCAGAACAUGGGUGAUAAGGUCCGUGUUCGAAAGGGAAACAGCCCAGACCACCAGCUAAGGUCCCAAAAUAUAUGUUAAGUGGAAAAGGAUGUGGCGUUGCCCAGACAACUAGGAUGUUGGCUUAGAAGCAGCCAUCAUUUAAAGAGUGCGUAAUAGCUCACUAGUCGAGUGACACUGCGCCGAAAAUGUACCGGGGCUAAACAUAUUACCGAAGCUGUGGAUUGUCCUUUGGACAAUGGUAGGAGAGCGUUCUAAGGGCGUUGAAGCAUGAUCGUAAGGACAUGUGGAGCGCUUAGAAGUGAGAAUGCCGGUGUGAGUAGCGAAAGACGGGUGAGAAUCCCGUCCACCGAUUGACUAAGGUUUCCAGAGGAAGGCUCGUCCGC
RNAcentral lists this ribosomal RNA (921 nucleotides) under Staphylococcus aureus. RNAcentral describes it as "partial 23S ribosomal RNA". It matches the Rfam family "Bacterial large subunit ribosomal RNA", at positions 444 to 1373 of the family's 2925-position model. The record is from RNAcentral. Lineage: Bacteria; Bacillati; Bacillota; Bacilli; Caryophanales; Staphylococcaceae.